GAUGAACGCUGGCGGCGUGCUUAAUACAUGCAAGUCGAGCGAACAGACGAGGAGCUUGCUCCUCUGACGUUAGCGGCGGACGGGUGAGUAACACGUGGAUACCCUUCCUAUAAGACUGGGAUAACUUCGGGAAACCGGAGCUAAUACCGGAUAAUAUAUUGAACCGCAUGGUUCAAUAGUGAAAGACGGCUUUUCUGUCACUUAUAGAUGGAUCUCCGCCGCAUUAGCUAGUUGGUAAGGUAACGGGUUACCACGGCAACGAUGCGUAGCCGACCUGAGAGAGUGAUCGGCCACACGGGAGCUGAGACGCCGACCAGGCUCCUACGAGAGGCAGCAGAAUGGAAUGUGCCGCAGUGGGCGAAAGCCUGACGCAGCAACGCCGCGUGAGUGAUGAAAGUCUUCGGAUCGUAAAACUCGGUUAUUAGGGAAGAACAGAUUUGUAAGUAACUAUGCACGGCGUGACGGUACCGAAUCAGGAAGCCACGGCUAACUACGUG
RNAcentral lists this ribosomal RNA (497 nucleotides) under uncultured bacterium. RNAcentral's name for it is "partial 16S ribosomal RNA". It matches the Rfam family "Bacterial small subunit ribosomal RNA", at positions 28 to 507 of the family's 1533-position model. The record is from RNAcentral.